This 235-nucleotide unclassified non-coding RNA is filed under the name uncultured fungus. RNAcentral's name for it is "sequence contains ITS1, 5.8S rRNA gene". The stretch from base 187 to 235 matches the Rfam family "5.8S ribosomal RNA", at positions 1 to 49 of the family's 154-position model. The record is from RNAcentral. Lineage: Eukaryota; Fungi.
UUUCCGUAGGUGAACCUGCGGAAGGAUCAUUACAGAGUUCAUGCCCUUCGGGGUAGAUCUCCCACCCUUGUGUAUCAUUAUAGAAUGUUGCUUUGGCGGGCCGCGUGCCUAGCACGCCUUGCGUGCCCGCCAGAGGACCCCUAAACUCUGAAUGUUAGUGUCGUCUGAGUACUAUUAAAUAGUUAAAACUUUCAACAACGGAUCUCUUGGUUCUGGCAUCGAUGAAGAACGCAGC